AUUGGCAAGUGAGAACACCUUCCCUAACAAACGUUCACUUUCACCAUAAUACUUUGACAUAAUAAUUUCCAAAGGCACAUAUAACAAUGGGACACCCGCUUGAUUAGCUAUAACACGUGCACAAGAUGUCUUUCCAGUUCCUGGUGGACCUUCAAAUAAGACUGCCCGAGGCCGGUUCGUCUCAAAUUUACAUCGAGUCCCACGAGCAAUAUCAUCAUA
RNAcentral lists this unclassified non-coding RNA (219 nucleotides) under Hevea brasiliensis (rubber tree). The record is from RNAcentral. Lineage: Eukaryota; Viridiplantae; Streptophyta; Magnoliopsida; Malpighiales; Euphorbiaceae.